Long non-coding RNA from Brachypodium distachyon (stiff brome), 1311 nucleotides. RefSeq lists it as uncharacterized. The record is from RefSeq and is a predicted model, not a curated record. The transcript is spliced from 2 exons. Lineage: Eukaryota; Viridiplantae; Streptophyta; Magnoliopsida; Poales; Poaceae.
CUAAAAGCGGACUGGUCGAUUUUUAGCUCGGUCAGCCUAUCGUUCGUACAUUGAUUGAAAUAAAGCGUCAGGGGACGAGAUUGGAUGGAGAGACGACAAUGAAGCUCAGACGAGCUGCUCAGGCGUAAGCAGUGGCAGAAACUUUGGAAGGUGAAGGUCCCCACGGAUUUGGGGCUAUUUUGUGUGGAGGAGCGUUGCUUGGCCUUGGCCGUAUCUGUCGCCUGCUUCCCUUCCUCUCUUCUCCACCGGCGCUGCCGACCGGAGUUGGAGGGGAAGGGGAGUAUGUGCGUGUAUAGGUCUAGUUUCUAGUAUGGUGCUCGUCUACGGGCCUAGCAGGAAUCGGUCACCGGCUGGGAAGCUCCGGUGGCUCGGAAGGAUUCUGUUCUCUGCUGUAGUGGCCAUCAUCGGUACCUUCGGUAACGGCGACCCCGGCCAGGAUGUUUCCUUCACUCCCUCUCUCCCUCUAAAUAACAGCUCCCCUUACUCAGAUCUGUAUUUUCCAUCUCUAACCUUGGUUGGUUCUUGUGGAUCCUCACGGGUUAGUUCUAGAUCUGAGCCCCUUCUUAUUCCUUUUCUCUUUGUGUUCUUGCCUGGUACCUCGGAUUGUCGGUGCUUUUCUCCAAAAAUAUUAUUCUCGGCGAUCUAUUGUUGAAGCUCCAGUUCAGUCUCCUCUUUGGUCUGGGCAAGUUGUCCUUUUCUCCAGCGAUGCUUCUCACAUUCUUCUUAUGCGCUGGCGACGAGUCGACUUUGGCGGCAGUGGCCAUCAUGAAGCUGUUGACUCCCCCUUCAACCUCCAUACGAGAGGCCCGCUUUGUGGUUUUUGGGAGCAACGGCCGAUUGUUGUCCACCAAAUCGUGGUCUGGAUCGGGCAUGAGGAGCACCAGCCCAUGGGAGGGGCUCUGGAUUUGAUUCGACGUCGUGGUGACCACCUAUAUCAGAAGCAGCGGCGAUCUUGUUCUCCUCCAGGCAACUGGCCUCGGAGGCAAGUUUGUCGUCUGAGGUAUGCCGGAUUUCGCUGGAGUUGGGUGCUGCUGUCGGUCGGCGCUCUCCACGGCGGUCCGCGGCGACGCUCCUUGCGGACGCAUGGUAUUUUCCACCCGUUGAGGUGGCAACUGAAGAGGAAGCACAAGACGCGUGGUGUUUGGUCCUGUCGGUCAAGCUACACGUGUCCCAUAAGGACCUCAUUUUAAUUUCUUUAGCUUUUAUGGUCCUACAUGUAAUUCGAGUUGUACUGUACUUGUGGGGUUUAUACCCCACUGCUUUAAUAUUACCAGGGUCUUUUCUUCCAAAAAAAACUUUUCUUUUUCAUAU